RNAcentral lists this transfer RNA (72 nucleotides) under Camelus ferus (Wild Bactrian camel). It matches the Rfam family "tRNA". From Rfam's summary of the family: Transfer RNA (tRNA) molecules are approximately 80 nucleotides in length. Lineage: Eukaryota; Metazoa; Chordata; Mammalia; Artiodactyla; Camelidae. The record is from Rfam by way of RNAcentral.
GAGGGUAUAGCUCAGUGGUAGAUUGUAUGCUUGGCAUGCAAGAGGUCCUGGGUUCAAUCCCUAGUACCUUCA